CCUAGCUGUGUUGGCUUUCUAACCCGCACCACUUAUCGUGGUGGGAGACAGUGUCAGGCGGGCAGUUUGACUGGGGCGGUCGCCCCCUAAAAGGUAACGGAGGCGCUCAAAGGUUCCCUCAGAAUGGUUGGAAAUCAUUCAUAGAGUGUAAAGGCAUAAGGGAGCUUGACUGCGAGACCUACAAGUCGAGCAGGGUCGAAAGACGGACUUAG
RNAcentral lists this ribosomal RNA (212 nucleotides) under Staphylococcus aureus. Its description in RNAcentral is "partial 23S ribosomal RNA". It matches the Rfam family "Bacterial large subunit ribosomal RNA", at positions 2204 to 2415 of the family's 2925-position model. The record is from RNAcentral. Lineage: Bacteria; Bacillati; Bacillota; Bacilli; Caryophanales; Staphylococcaceae.